GAUGAACGCUAGCUACAGGCUUAACACAUGCAAGUCGAGGGGUAGCAGGGUAGCAAUACCGCUGACGACCGGCGCACGGGUGAGUAACACGUAUCCAACCUUCCCAUAACUCGGGGAUAGCCUUUCGAAAGAAAGAUUAAUACCGGAUGGUACUUUCUCAAGGCAUCUUGAGAAAGUUAAAGAUUUAUUGGUUAUGGAUGGGGAUGCGUUCCAUUAGAUAGUUGGUGGGGUAACGGCUCACCAAGUCUUCGAUGGAUAGGGGUUCUGAGAGGAAGGUCCCCCACAUUGGUACUGAGACACGGACCAAACUCCUACGGGAGGCAGCAGUGAGGAAUAUUGGUCAAUGGGCGAGAGCCUGAACCAGCCAAGUAGCGUGAAGGAUGAAGGUCCUAUGGAUUGUGAACUGCUUUUAUACAGGAAUAAAGUUAGCCACGUGUGGUUAUUUGUAGGUACUGUAUGAAUAAGGACCGGCUAAUUCCGUGCCAGCCGCCGCAGUAA
This 498-nucleotide ribosomal RNA is filed under the name uncultured bacterium. Its description in RNAcentral is "partial 16S ribosomal RNA". It matches the Rfam family "Bacterial small subunit ribosomal RNA", at positions 28 to 523 of the family's 1533-position model. The record is from RNAcentral.